Molecule: ribosomal RNA, 304 nt
Filed under: uncultured bacterium
Lineage: Bacteria
Description: partial 16S ribosomal RNA
Rfam family: Bacterial small subunit ribosomal RNA
Source: RNAcentral
CAGCAGUCGCCACGGUAAUACGAAGGUCCCGAGCGUUGUUCGGAAUCACUGGGCGUAAAGGGAGCGUAGGCGGCGUGGUAAGUCAGAUGUGAAAUCCCGGGGCUCAACCCCGGAACUGCAUCCGAUACUGCCAUGCUAGAGGAUUGGAGAGGUAGCUGGAAUUCUUGGUGUAGCAGUGAAAUGCGUGGAGAUCAAGAGGAACACUCGUGGCGAAAGCGAGCUACUGGACAAUAACUGACGCUGAGGCUCGAAGGCCAGGGUAGCGAAAGGGAUUAGAUACCCCAGUAGUCCCUGUCUCUUAUAC